GGGUCAGUAGGUUGGUCGUGCCACCGGUACGUACUGGUCUCACUGAUUCCUCCUUCCUGAAGAACCGUAGUGCCAUUAAUUUGGUGUUGCGGGGAAACAGGACUGUUACUUUGAAAAAAUUAGAGUGUUUAAAGCAAGCUAACGCUUGAAUACAUUAGCAUGGAAUAAUGAAAUAGGACGAUCGAUCCUAUUUUGUUGGUUCCUAGGAUUGACGUA
Molecule: ribosomal RNA, 216 nt
Filed under: Glomeromycotina sp.
Lineage: Eukaryota; Fungi; Glomeromycota
Description: partial small subunit ribosomal RNA
Rfam family: Eukaryotic small subunit ribosomal RNA (bases 40-216)
Source: RNAcentral